GCCUGGGAGGGGAGUGGGGAUCCCCCGAAGUCUCGCAGCACAGUGUGGUGCUUAGGCCGUCGCCCCGGCCGCCACUGCGCCUCCCCACCCGCAGGCCGCCGCAGCGCCACGGGCGGCCGCGCGAGGUAGCGUUUGGGGGCUCCUGGGGACGCGGUCUCCGGCGCGCAGGUCCGCCCAGGGUUGGCCGCGUGGUCCCCCGGGCUUCCCACGCCCGAUUCGAAUUGUGACUCCGGCUGGCUCCGGACCGAGCCGAGGACGCUCCGGUACCACAGCAGGAGCCGCGCGGGCGGGGGCGCGGGGCGCCUGGGAGAUGUAGUUCGCGGCCUUCCUUGGCGCACCAGACAAUGCCCGACGCGGGCCCGCUGGAGAAACGCCUUCCUUGGCUUUGCAGAAACACCGCUUGCUAUUAAUACAGCAACGAAUACAGCUUUAAAAACGCGCCCAGUGUCCUCCCUGGAAUAACAGCUGAAGGUUAUACCAGAUAUUUCUAAAUGUAUAUGGGGAGAUAAAAGGAUGUAAUGGAAAUACAGAAAUACGUGUCGAGCUGCUACUUAUACACUUUUAAAUAUUUAAAGAAAAAAAUUGCUAAAAGCAGAUGAAUGCUUCUUCACCUCAAGUUUAAAAGUCUCCUUACGAUGGCCGGGCGCCGUGGCUCAGGCCUGUAAUCCCGGCACUUUGGGAAGCCAAGGCAGGCAGAUCGCUUGAGCUCAGGAGUUGGAGAACAGCCUGGGCAACAUGGCGAAGCUCCAUCCAUACUGAAGAUACAAAAAUUAGCCGGGUGUGGUGGUGCACUCCUGUAGUCCCAGCUACUUGGGAGGCUGAGGUGGGAGGAUCGCUUGAGCCCAGGAAGUCGAGGCUGCAGUGAGCCGAGAUAGCCCCACUGCACUUGAGCCUGGGUGACAGAGUGAGACCCUGUCUCCAAAAAAAAAAGAGUCUUCUACGAUUAUUUUUAGAAAUUACAAAAACAUCAAGAGAUGGGUGUGUUUGGUUUUCAGCAGCACAGCACGGUUCGGCUGAGGCGGCACAGGCUGACUUCUGACUGUGAAUGACAGGGUCUUGCUCUGCCACCCAGACUGGAGUGCAGAGGUGCUAUCUCGGCUCACUGCGAACUCUGCCUCUCAGGCCUAAGCUAUCCUCCUGCCUCAGCCUCUCAAGUAGCAGGGACUACAGGCAUGCACCACCACGCCCCGCUAAUUUUUAUAUUUUUUAGUAGAGAUGGGUUUUCACUGUGUUGCCCAGGCUGGUCUCGAACUCCUGGGUUCAAGUGACCUGCCCAAAGUGCUGGAAUUUCAGAGCCAGAGCCCUGGUUUUAUACACUUUAUUAUGUUCCCCUCCCUGCUAGAUUGCAAACCCUCUGAGGGCAAAGGAGCUGUUUCCUUACCCUCCAAGGCCUAGAGUGGCUUGUAGCUUGAAGUAGGUGUUUAACAAAUAAUAAAUGAGUAAAUUAUUGUGUUAA
Pongo pygmaeus (Bornean orangutan) is the source of this 1456-nucleotide long non-coding RNA. RefSeq lists it as uncharacterized. Lineage: Eukaryota; Metazoa; Chordata; Mammalia; Primates; Hominidae. The transcript is spliced from 2 exons. The record is from RefSeq and is a predicted model, not a curated record.